GCACAAUGCGGACAGUGCUACAAGAAGAGAUUUAUAGAGUCUUAAGAGUCUCAAGAAGCGUACAAGGAGAUGAGGAGUGAAUCACCAAAACAAGUGGUUUUGGUUUGUGAAUCACCAAAACAAGUGGUUUUGGUUUGUGAAUCAGUAUGGUUUACCCAAAACACUUGUUUGGUGUGUUUACUUCUGAUCUCUUCGUACUCUUCUUGCGAUUCUAUGACACUCUACAUGUAACAUCGGCAUGGUUUACCAAAAAGCCU
Arabidopsis thaliana (thale cress) is the source of this 257-nucleotide non-coding RNA. RefSeq annotates it as microRNA ath-MIR831 precursor. The record is from RefSeq. The transcript has a single exon. Lineage: Eukaryota; Viridiplantae; Streptophyta; Magnoliopsida; Brassicales; Brassicaceae.